Non-coding RNA from Aegilops tauschii subsp. strangulata, 2645 nucleotides. NCBI's taxonomy places the organism in Eukaryota, Viridiplantae, Streptophyta, Magnoliopsida, Poales, Poaceae. The record is from RefSeq and is a predicted model, not a curated record.
UAAAUACAGGUCGAGAGUCUUCUUCCCCAACGGUCCGCCAUUCCGGUAACUCGCGAAGGAGAGGUCGAGGGAGAGGGAGAACAGGCGAAGGACGCGCAACGGAGUUCCUCAUGCAGGCGAUCAGGAGAUCGACUCUGAUUGAAGAGGUCGGGGAGAUUCUGGUGCCGGGAAGUACGUUGGCGGAUGGUACGAAGCGGGCGUUGGUGGAGGUGGUGCUUCCGGAGAGCAUGUGUAUGAGCGGCGUAGGGUGGAUCUGCUGGGCGUCUGGACCACCAGCAAUCAGCAGAGAAGGUCGAAUCUGCAGCGCGGUUCAAGUGGCAGCACUUAGAAGGGACCGUUUCGCCUCUGACUUCUACGAUGUCGAUGGAAAGAUGAAUCGCCAGGCUCUUGGUUGGGAGAAGAGGCAACCAACGAGAUAACAAUGCUCUUGAAGGAAAAAAAUGCUCGAUGCUUUCACACAUUGCAACAGUUAGAGGAAAUAUCCAGCUGGAUAUGUUCAAGCUUGCUGACAAGCUUGCCUCCUCCACCAAUGGUGACGACACCUGUACUCCUGUCAGAGCACCCAUUACUGGCCAUCACCUAAAUCUAUCUCCUUACGAAGGGAACACUUCGACAAGCAAGCGGCCCAGAACUAUCCAAUGCGACCAACCCCAGCCAGAAAGCGUGGCUCACCACAUUAUACGGCAGGUCACCUUAUUUGCAAAGGGAAAUUUGAAAGCCAUAAGCAAGUCGUAUAUCAAUCUCCCAAAUGGUGGGAGCACAACUGUUUUUGGCGAGAGGCGGGUUGAACACCUUGGCCGCAAGUAUGUAUUCAGACCAGGGUUCCAGACAGGUCCCUGGAGCUGAGGCGCUGUUCUGUAUCCUCCACAUGCAGAUGUCGCGCAACUCCUGGAGCGGUACUUCGCCACUGCACCUGACAGUGAAUUAUCUGGCAAUUUCCUUGUACACGAAGCUCCCAUGUUCAUCAAGAUUACUGGCUACAUGAUCAGUGGCCAGCUUGUGGGUGGCAACAUGAUUCAGCGUGAACUGGUGUCGUUGCUUUUCCGUCGCUUUGCUCAAGUUGAUUUUCACUGCGCUAAUCUACUGCUUACUCAAACAAGACUCUAGGCUUGUGGGACUCUGAUUUCAUUCACACCCUGUCUAUCCAAAGGCAGUUCACAGGUGACUCUUUGAAGUAUGACAUCACAUCAUCCCAAAAUGUUUUAUUCCGGUGCCACGCCCAGAAGGCUGGAUGGUGAUAAUAUGGGACAUGGUGACGAAAAAAUUAAGUAAGAGACCGAGGCCAAUUCUCCUGACUUUCUUUCCAUAAUUAUUACUAUAAUGUUUGUUUCAUAUUAUUUUUUCAUUACUUCAUGUUAUCAUGCCAUCAUGUCAUUAAAUAAUUCACACCAUUUUUAAACCAUGAACAUUUUUAGAAAAUCAUUUGUGCCUUGCUUCUAUUUUAUUUAAAUGCCUUUACAAAUUUCUUCAAACCUUUCCUAAAGGCCCUUACCUUUGCUGCUUCAAGUUUGAUCUUCAAAACCUGCCCAUAAUUCUUUCAUCACAUUUCAGACCGCCAGCCAGAAUCUGAAGAUUUUUUUUUGGACACUUCUAAACGUAGACCUAGAUCAAACCAAUUUGGCUCGACCCUGUAUAUAAAAAAUUCAGCUAAUCAUCCAACCAAGGAACGAGAUAAGGCUACAACCUGGAAGCUUUACAAUGCAAUGCUCGCAUGUUUGAAUUAGUUCUAUGCUAGAUGGCCGUGAGCAAGGAAAACUGGGGCAUCAAGGCCGAGAUAGGGGGCAUGCGUCAUCCACAUUGCUCGCCACUUUGAGGGAGAAAAGCUGAAGCUUCAGCUUACACAAUGGAGUAUUUCCCAGCACUAGCAAUGCAAAUGUGGAGGAUUGGUACCAAAAAAAAAAGAACAAUGUUGUUUUUUUGUAAAAAUGUGGGUACUUGACUUUAUCCAUGUGAAGCAGAUCCCCGAGAGGCCGAGACACAUAUAGUAGGGUUGCACUAGCGAAAUCUAAAUAGUACCUACAACCUCGGAAGCCUGCUAGGUGCGAGAAUUGUGGGGUUGAGGACCACAGGGGAAACAACUGCACAAAACCAAUGGAUGUGGGAUUAGGGGGUGUCUGAUGAUGCUGGUGUGAAGUGCAUGGCUGCAGCAUCACUGCAUCAGCAUCAGUUAUGACUGGUGAAAACCAAGGAGAGCAAGAGUGUAAUCUAAGAUAUGUUGAUGUGUUCUGGAGAAUAUUUUCUAUAUCUUGUACUGUGUGGCGCCAUCCGGCUGUCCGGCAGACUAUAUAUGUAUCUAUGCAAUGCAUUUCCGGGAUCAGGUGUUUGGAUGAAGAAUUAUUGUUAUUUUCAUGUGAUUCAUGGCCCCAUCUAGUGUGUGUGUGAUGCCUGUGACUAGAGUUGCAUGUUGCUGGAGACUGAAUUGCGGUGCUUAUCUUUGUAGGCCGAUCUGAAUUCUUAUGCUUGUUCAGGCUGAAUUAUGGCACUUGUUUGUGUUGCCUGAGACUGAAUUGUGCUGCCUGAAGUUGGUAUAGAGAGUACAUAAAAAAAGUGGAAUCAGCGGUGAUGUGAUUGUUGGGCGUUGAGUAGCAUCAAUUUGUGUUUUUUAGGGGAUCAAUUCGUUUUUGUGUGAUGUGCACUGUUGCUGG